RNAcentral lists this ribosomal RNA (572 nucleotides) under Rhodotorula paludigena. RNAcentral's name for it is "eukaryotic LSU rRNA". It matches the Rfam family "Eukaryotic large subunit ribosomal RNA", at positions 45 to 629 of the family's 3401-position model. Lineage: Eukaryota; Fungi; Basidiomycota; Microbotryomycetes; Sporidiobolales; Sporidiobolaceae. The record is from RNAcentral.
CANAAGCGGAGGAAAAGAAACUAACAAGGAUUCCCCUAGUAGCGGCGAGCGAAGCGGGAAGAGCUCAAAUUUAUAAUCUGGCACUUUCAGUGUCCGAGUUGUAAUCUCUAGAAGUGUUUUCCGCGUUGGACCGCACACAAGUCUGUUGGAAUACAGCGGCACAGUGGUGACACCCCCGUACACGGUGCGGACGCCCAGCGCUUUGUGAUACACUUUCGAAGAGUCGAGUUGUUUGGGAAUGCAGCUCAAAUUGGGUGGUAAAUUCCAUCUAAAGCUAAAUAUUGGCGAGAGACCGAUAGCGAACAAGUACCGUGAGGGAAAGAUGAAAAGCACUUUGGAAAGAGAGGUAACAGUACGUGAAAUUGUUGGAAGGGAAACGCUUGAAGUCAGACUUGCUUGCCGGAGCUUGCUUCGGUUUGCAGGCCAGCAUCAGUUUUCCGGGGUGGAUAAUGGCGGUUAGAAGGUAGCAGCUUCAGCUGUGUUAUAGCUUUCCGCUGGAUACAUCCUGGGGGACUGAGGAACGCAGCGUGCUUUUAGCGGGGGUUUCGACCUCUUCACGCUUAGGAUGCUGG